UAGGGAAUCUUCCGCAAUGGACGCAAGUCUGACGGAGCAACGCCGCGUGAGUGAAGAAGGAUUUCGGUUCGUAAAACUCUGUUGUUAGAGAAGAACAGCGCAUAGAGUAACUGUUAUGCGUGUGACGGUAUCUAACCAGAAAGCCACGGCUAACUACGUGCCAGCAGCCGCGGUAAUACGUAGGUGGCAAGCGUUGUCCGGAUUUAUUGGGCGUAAAGCGAGCGCAGGCGGUCAAUUAAGUCUGAUGUGAAAGCCCCCGGCUCAACCGGGGAGGGUCAAUGGAAACUGGUUGACUUGAGUGCAGAAGAGGAGAGUGGAAUUCCAUGUGUAGCGGUGAAAUGCGUAGAUAUAUGGAGGGACACCAGUUGCGAAGGCGACUCUCUGGUCUGUAACUGACGCUGAGGCUCGAAAGCGUGGGUAGCAAACAGG
Molecule: ribosomal RNA, 429 nt
Filed under: Bacteroidota bacterium
Lineage: Bacteria; Pseudomonadati; Bacteroidota
Description: Bacteroidetes bacterium partial 16S ribosomal RNA
Rfam family: Bacterial small subunit ribosomal RNA
Source: RNAcentral